This 298-nucleotide ribosomal RNA is filed under the name uncultured bacterium. RNAcentral describes it as "partial 16S ribosomal RNA". It matches the Rfam family "Bacterial small subunit ribosomal RNA", at positions 333 to 646 of the family's 1533-position model. The record is from RNAcentral.
AUGCCCCUACGGGAGGCAGCAGUGGGGAAUAUUGGGCAAGGGGCGCAAGCCUGACCCAGCAACGCCGCGUGAAGGAAGAAGGCUUUCGGGUUGUAAACUUCUUUUGACAGGGAAGAGUAGAAGACGGUACCUGUCGAAUAAGCCACGGCUAACUACGUGCCAGCAGCCGCGGUAAUACGUAGGUGGCAAGCGUUGUCCGGAUUUACUGGGUGUAAAGGUCGUGUGGCCGGGUUGACCAGUCAGAUGUGAAAUCCUGCGGCUUAACCGCAGAACUGCAUUUCAAACUGUUGAUCUUGAG